GUGAAUCAUCGAAUUUUUGAACGCAAAUUGCACUCUCUGGCAUUCCGGAGAGUAUGCCUGUUUGAGGGUCAGUUUAAAUAAAAAUCGUGGUGAUGCUGUUUUGUGACCCAUCGGAAUUGGGUUAACUUUGACCUUUUAAAAAGUUUAAGUGACAUAAAAUUGAUACCUGGUGCAUCUAAGACGUACAUAAGAAUAUUAUUUAUCCCAACCGAGUUGCCAAAUUUUUAGUAUGUUGGACCAAUGUG
RNAcentral lists this unclassified non-coding RNA (245 nucleotides) under Glomeraceae sp. RNAcentral's name for it is "partial contains 5.8S ribosomal RNA and internal transcribed spacer 2". The stretch from base 1 to 71 matches the Rfam family "5.8S ribosomal RNA", at positions 84 to 154 of the family's 154-position model. The record is from RNAcentral. Lineage: Eukaryota; Fungi; Glomeromycota; Glomeromycetes; Glomerales; Glomeraceae.